UACGGAGGGUGCGAGCGUUGUCCGGAAUCAUUGGGCGUAAAGGGCGCGUAGGUGGCGGGACAAGCGUGCGGUGAAAGCUCGGGGCUCAACCCCGCGUCGGCCGUGCGAACUGUUUUGCUUGAGCACUGUAGAGGCAGGCGGAAUUCCGGGUGUAGCGGUGGAAUGCGUAGAUAUCUGGAGGAACACCGGUGGCGAAGGCGGCAUCCUGGACCGAUACUGACGCUGAGGAGCGAAAGCCAGGGGAGCAAAGCGGG
RNAcentral lists this ribosomal RNA (254 nucleotides) under uncultured bacterium. RNAcentral's name for it is "partial 16S ribosomal RNA". It matches the Rfam family "Bacterial small subunit ribosomal RNA", at positions 524 to 777 of the family's 1533-position model. The record is from RNAcentral.